UUAAAUUGAAGAGUUUGAUCAUGGCUCAGAUUGAACGCUGGCGGCAGGCCUAACACAUGCAAGUCGAACGGUAACAGGAAGAAGCUUGCUUCUUUGCUGACGAGUGGCGGACGGGUGA
Molecule: ribosomal RNA, 118 nt
Filed under: Escherichia coli
Lineage: Bacteria; Pseudomonadati; Pseudomonadota; Gammaproteobacteria; Enterobacterales; Enterobacteriaceae
Description: partial 16S ribosomal RNA
Rfam family: Bacterial small subunit ribosomal RNA
Source: RNAcentral